RNAcentral lists this ribosomal RNA (498 nucleotides) under uncultured bacterium. Its description in RNAcentral is "partial 16S ribosomal RNA". It matches the Rfam family "Bacterial small subunit ribosomal RNA", at positions 30 to 523 of the family's 1533-position model. The record is from RNAcentral.
AUUGAACGCUGGCGGCAGGCCUAACACAUGCAAGUCGAGCGGUUGAGGUAGCUUGCUACCGAUACAGCGGCGGACGGGUGAGUAAUACAUGGGAAUCUGCCUGGUAGUGGGGGACAACGUUUCGAAAGGAACGCUAAUACCGCAUACGCCCUACGGGGGAAAGGGGGGGAUCUUCGGACCUCUCGCUAUCAGAUGAGCCCAUGUCAGAUUAGCUUGUUGGUGAGGUAAAGGCUCACCAAGGCGACGAUCUGUAACUGGUCUGAGAGGAUGAUCAGCCACACUGGAACUGAGACGCGGUCAAGACUCCUAAGGGAGGCAGCAGUGGGGAAUAUUGGACAGUGGGCGCAGGCCUGAUCCAGCCGUGCCGCGUGUGUGAAGAAGGCCUUAGGGUUGUAAAGCACUUUCAGUGGGGAGAAAGGCCUUUUACUUAAUACGUAAGAGGAUUGAUGUUACCCACAGAAGAAGCACCGGCUAACUCCGUGCCAGCCGCCGCGGUAA